AUGUGGUCUAGCAAGCAAUCGACGCGGAUACUAACGAUUCUUUAGCUUGAAUAAACUUAUAUGGACGAUAUUUAAGCGAUAAAUUAUAGUGCCUUGCGGGCGUUCAAAACAUAAUAAGAGAUAUCCGUCGUUUUAUAUUUUUUUAUACUAUGGGGGUGGCUGUCUUCACGCUAGCCACCCCAAAUCACUUUUUGUAAUUUUUUUUGGUCUAGAUAGCAAGACAUUCGUUAGUUCACGUUUGUUCAGGCAUUUAAAUCGUUAGGACCCGAUUCCUUCAUUUUUUUUUUUUUUUUCAAAGUUGAUUUGGGGUGGCUAGCGUGAAGACAGCCACCCCCAUAGUAUAAAAAAAAUAUAAAACGACGGAUAUCUCUUAUUAUGUUUUGAACGCCCGCAAGGCACUAUAAUUUAUCGCUUAAAUAUCGUCCAUAUAAGUUUAUUCAAGCUAAAGAAUCGUUAGUAUCCGCGUCGAUUGCUUGCUAGACCACAUUACUUGGCUCCGCUGUCCCAUAUAUAUGAAUUUUUCGAUUUUAUUUUUUUAUGGCAAAUCUAAUGAGAUCCUAACGAUUUUAAUGCCUGAACAAACGUGAACUAACGUCGCUCGAUGAGUUCACAUGGUUAGUUUGGCUGAUUUCUGGGUGGGGUGGCUAGCGUGAAGACAGCCACCCCACUUUGAAAAAAUAAAAAAAAAUGAAGGAAUCGGGUCCUAACGAUUUAAAUGCCUGAACAAACGUGAACUAACGAAUGUCUUGCUAUCUAGACCAAAAAAAAUUACAAAAAGUGAUUUGGGGUGGCUAGCGUGAAGACAGCCACCCC
Cydia splendana is the source of this 813-nucleotide long non-coding RNA. RefSeq lists it as uncharacterized. The transcript is spliced from 2 exons. NCBI's taxonomy places the organism in Eukaryota, Metazoa, Arthropoda, Insecta, Lepidoptera, Tortricidae. The record is from RefSeq and is a predicted model, not a curated record.